UUAUAAAAUAUUAUGGAUAUCCUUCAAAAUUACAUAUUUUGAAACCUUUUGAUCAUUAGGCCAAUGAUGUUGGAAAAAUUUAAAAUUUGGUUUCUAGAUAUUUCAAGUGGUAUAGAUCGUGUUGAAUAGUGUCGAUCGUCAAUUUAGAGGCUCCAUCAUCGAAAAUAAAUGGAUGACAACGAAGCAUUUUUUAGAGGCAGUUGGUUAUAUACUCCUGAAAAGUUUUCGACUUUCUUAUUUACCCUUCUUGGAAAGUUAAUAUUAAAAUAAUACUUUUAAAAUUUCAAAAUCUUUCAAAUAUAUCUCUACAGUUAAAUUCUGUUAGUGAACUGUUAAGAACAGUCAUUAUCUCUAUAAAAUUACCAUUUUGAUCUUUCAAAUAUACCCUUUUACCGUCACCAACUUUUUUUAUUUGCCCUUAAGUUUGGGGUAAAAGAAGUAUUUUGACUUUUUGUUGUCACAAAUUUUUCUUAUUUGCUCUUAAGUUAGGGGCACAAUAGGUAUUUUCAUUUUUUUUUUUUAACUAUGGUAGAAAUUUAACUAAUUAAGGUUUAACCCUGAGAUGACUAACGAACACUAACAAUAGGGAUAUUUUUGAAUAAUAGAAAAAUAUAUGAGAGAUAUAUUUGAAACAAAAAAAGUAGGGGUAAAUAAGAUAUUUCAGCAGUUUUGAGGAGUAUAUAGG
RNAcentral lists this long non-coding RNA (685 nucleotides) under Ananas comosus (pineapple). RNAcentral's name for it is "long non-coding RNA (ACOM_LNC035996)". The record is from RNAcentral. Lineage: Eukaryota; Viridiplantae; Streptophyta; Magnoliopsida; Poales; Bromeliaceae.